RNAcentral lists this long non-coding RNA (3714 nucleotides) under Papio anubis (olive baboon). Its description in RNAcentral is "lncRNA (ENSPANG00000047958.1)". The record is from RNAcentral. Lineage: Eukaryota; Metazoa; Chordata; Mammalia; Primates; Cercopithecidae.
AUGGGCUGUAUAGGAAGCAUGGCAGCAUCUUCUUGGCUUCUGGGGAGGCCUCAGGAAACUUACAAUCAUGGUGGAAAGCAAACGGAGAGCCAGCACUUCAUAUGGCUGGAGCAAAAGGAAGAGAGAGCAGAGGGGAGGUGCCACACACUCUUAAACAACCAGAUCUCACGAGAACUCUGUCAUAAGAACAGCAUCAAAAGAAGAAAUCUGCUCCCACAAUUCAAUCAUCUCCCACCAAGCCCCACCUCCAACACUGGGGAUUACAAUUUAACAUGAGAUUUGGGUGGGGACACAGAUCCAAACCAUAUCAAAUAUUCCCUGCUUGCAGCAGCCAUUUGAACAUAGAGGCCAUAUUUAUAGACAUCUCAACCUCCUCUUUGGAGGUUGACAUGAUCAACCUCACUGAGAUACUUGAUAUAUUGCCAGGAUGACACACACUAUUGACCACAGUUCUGAGAGCCAUUUCCUGUCAUUCAGUGUGAUUAUUGGCUAGGUGUAGAUAAGGAUUGUUAUAAGUUGAAUUGUGCCCCCCUCACCAAAUAUAUGUGUUCAAAUCCUAACCCCUCAUUCCUUAGAAUGUGGCCUUACUUGGAAAUAGAGUCUUUGUAGAUUUAAACAAGUUAAGAUGAGGUCAAUUGAGUGGAUUCUAAUCCAAUAUGACUGGUGUCCUUAUAAAAAGGGGAAAUUGGGAUCCAAACACAGACCAGCAGAUAAGGAGAAUGCCAUGGGAAGGUAAAGGCAGAGAUUGGGGGAUGCAUCAGCAAUUACCAGAAGCUAGGAGAGGCUUGGAACAGAUUCUCCCUUACAGCCUCCGAAGGAACCAACCCAGCUGACACCUCGAUCUCAGAUUUCUAGCUUCCAGAACUGUGAAUCAAUACAUUUUUCUUGUUUAAACCACCCAAUCUGUGGUACUUUUUUGUUGUUGUUACAGCAGCCCUAGCAAACAAAUAUGGGGAUGUUGGCAGGAGCUGGAAGAAAAUCACCUUUGAGGAUAUCACAUAUGGGGCUAAAAGCAGCAGUGAGGAAAAGAAUCAAUUAGAGAAAAUCUAAUUGUACAAAUUUCCUUACAACUGAUGAACCAGCAUUCUCAAGAUCAUGUUUAGAAUGAAAAAUAUUAAAAAUAUAUUUUAAAGUGAGUUUUAGAGACCAUAUGUAAUAAGUGUUUUUUUUUUUUUUAACCUCUUUAGCAUUUGAAUGUAGCUUAUUUCUGUUUUAGCUGAACAGGUGAAUAUGUAGUGUUUUCUCAUAAGGGUAAAAGACUAAGUCCCGUGAAGUACAGAUGUGUAAUGGGCAAGUAGAUCUGAGUAAGACAUUCUGCAUUCUUCCAGCUCAGCAUUGUCACUGUUUCUUUCUUAUGGUGUACACAUUAACAUUAGCGGGAAGCAAGGUGCUAGACGUUUUAAAAUAGAUAAUUCUUCACCAAAAAGCUUCAGAUUAUAGUAGAAUUGAAUUUCCAGAUUUUCCUACCUCUGCACCUAGAAAUCAGGUAAAACAGAACAAUUCUAAUGGCUGGUGCUUCAGAACUGGAAGGCCCUGAGGUCUUUAGUUACUACCAACUAUUACAGAGGAAUCAGAGUCCCGCUAGAAUGGCCCAGAUAGUUCAGGUUCUUUCUUCAUUCUUUUGGCUAAAACUGUAUUUGCUGUUUAGUCUCUGUCCCCCUCCUGUGUCCUGUGUGCCCCAGCCGUUAAAUACUGGAACUUCAUUCAAAAUCAUCUAGCUCAUGAAACAGCUCUAAUUCCACAGGAUGCCCUAAGAUAACCAGAUUUUGACUGUGGAGAGCCAGUAGUGGAGCCAGGAGCAGGUUACUACCGGCGCUAAUGUUGUCCUAGCAGCCAUGACAAAGAGGAUGUGUCCUGGGAAAGUCAGAGCCAGUCCUGAGAGUCAAGACUGUAUCACACACAUUAAGGGAGACACUCCUGCAAACCCCUUCAUCCCCAGAUGUUACAUAAACUGUGUCAGAAUUUGCUGAGCUUCUGUUGAGUUUUCUACAACAGUGAAGAAAAUUUCAGUAAUUGAUAAUUGAUACUUUCAAUGAUUAUUUGCCUUUAUGUCUUUUUUUUUUUUUUUUUUUUUUUUUUUGAAGACAGGGUCUCUCGCUCUGUUGCCCAGGCUAGAGUGCAGUGGUCCAAUCACAGCUGACUGUAACCUCAGGCAAUCCUCUCACCUCAGCCUCCUGAGCAGCUAGGGCUACAGGUGCAUGCUAGCAUGCCUGGUUAACAUUUUUAAUUUUUCUUUUUUUUUUUUUAGAGACGGGAUCUCACUAUGUUGCCCAGGCUAGUCUUGAACUCCUGACCUCAAGCAAUUCUCCCUCCUUGGCCUUCCAAAGUGCUGGAACUAUAGGCAGGAGCCACUGUACCCAAACUGUGCCUAUUUUGAGUGAAUAUAAAAUUAUAUUUUAUGGCUGGGCUCGGUGGUUCAUGCCUGUAAUCCCUGCACUUUGGGAAGCUAAGGCAGACAGAUCACUUGGGGUCAGGAGUUUGAGACCAGCCUGGCCAACAUGGAAACCCCAUCUCUAGUAAAAUAGAAAAGUUAGCUGGGUGUGGUGGUGUGCACCUGUAAUCCCAGCUACUCGGGAGGCUGAGGCACAAGAAUUGCUUGAACCUGGGAGACAGAGGUUGCAGUGAGCAGAGAUUGCACCACCAUACUCCAGCCUAGGUAACAUAGUGAGACUCCCUCUAAAUAAAUAAAUAUAGAUCUAUGUUUUAUUUAUGUGUGUGUAUGCACAUAUUUUAUCUUUAAAAAUAAAAAUAAGCUCAACAUUUUGCUUUUGAUUGUCAUGUGAUUGUUACCAACAAAUAUUUACUAAGCCAUGUGCUCAGCACAAGCCUAGGUAUGGUGGAAGAUACAAAAGAAAACUAAAGAACAAUCUCUGCCCCAGAAGGGUAUUCACACUAAUUGACUAGACAAAAUGAAUUAUCUUGUCACACUCAAAGUCAAAUUAUUGCCAGAAGCUAUGACAAGUACUGUAUAGAAGUAUUUAGCUAUAGGUAGACUGGAAGCCAAAGGAAAGAAGUUGGCUUGACUUCAACAGAGAGUACGAGUUCUACCCAGGACAUCAGAUGUGAGCUGUCUUAAAAGAGAAAAUUAUAAAGAUAGGCUGAAGGAAUAUUACAUUGUGCAGAAUAUGGAAAUGAAGACAUGGAAAUGAGACUGGGCACCGUCUGCGCUGGGAGGAUUAAUCUAUCAGAUCUGAGAAGGCUCCAGAUCUGGAUGGAGGCAAGAGGGAACAGGUGUCUCACAGACAGACGUUUGUCUCUCUCUUUUAUUCUUCACGUUCUUUGUUUCCUUCAACAAAUACGAUUGAAGGCUUGUUAAGUGCCUGGCACUUUUCUAGGUACUGGGGAUAGGAGACAACAUCUUCUCUCUUACAGCCUACGUUCUGGCCAGGUACACAAGCAAUGACAAAUAUAUAAUGUUAGACAGUGGUAAAUGCUACGAAGAAGUUAAUCAGGUUAAGGUGAUGGAAAUAGGAUCUGCUCUUUUAUAGAUAGGAUAGUGAGAAAUGGCCCCUCAAAAGAAGAGAUGUUCAGUGAGAAGAAAAUGAGGAAGCAAAGAUAGUCAAGAAUCUAAAGGAAAAGUAUGUUAGUCAGGGGAAAUAAUAUAGAAAAAGAACAUAAUAUAGAAGAGAACUUCUGUGUUUAGGGAACAACAGCAAGUCCAGUGUAACUAGAGUUGAGUGAGCCGGACAGAGGAGGUAAGAGAUGAAGUCAGAG